GUUCCGUAGGUGAACCUGCGGAAGGAUCAUUAUUGAAUGAAACACUUCUGGCUUUAUGCUGUUGUGCUGGCCCUUUGGGCAAUGUGCACACGGCUCUGGUCACUUGUUUCUUCUGUUCCACCUGUGCACUGCCUGUAGACACGCUGUGUCUAUGAUAUUUGUUAACACACAACAAUGUUAGUUGGCAUGUUAUAUAUAAUAAUAAAAUAUACAACUUUCAACAACGGAUCUCUUGGCUCCC
This 241-nucleotide unclassified non-coding RNA is filed under the name plant metagenome. Its description in RNAcentral is "partial contains small subunit ribosomal RNA, internal transcribed spacer 1, and 5.8S ribosomal RNA". The record is from RNAcentral.